AACGAACGCUGGCGGCAGGCCUAACACAUGCAAGUCGAGCGCGCACUUCGGGGUGAGCGGCGGACGGGUGAGUAACGCGUGGGAACGUGCCCUUUUCUACGGAAUAGCCUCGGGAAACUGAGAGUAAUACCGUAUACGCCCUUUGGGGGAAAGAUUUAUCGGAAAAGGAUCGGCCCGCGUUGGAUUAGGUAGUUGGUGGGGUAAUGGCCUACCAAGCCGACGAUCCAUAGCUGGUUUGAGAGGAUGAUCAGCCACACUGGGACUGAGACACGGCCCAGACUCCUACGGGAGGCAGCAGUGGGGAAUCUUAGACAAUGGGGGCAACCCUGAUCUAGCCAUGCCGCGUGAGUGAUGAAGGCCUUAGGGUUGUAAAGCUCUUUCAGCUGGGAAGAUAAUGACGGUACCAGCAGAAGAAGCCCCGGCUAACUCCGUG
RNAcentral lists this ribosomal RNA (433 nucleotides) under uncultured bacterium. Its description in RNAcentral is "partial 16S ribosomal RNA". It matches the Rfam family "Bacterial small subunit ribosomal RNA", at positions 29 to 507 of the family's 1533-position model. The record is from RNAcentral.